GAAUUCGCCCUUAGAGUUUGAUCCUGGCUCAGGAUGAACGCUGGCGGCGUGCUUAACACAUGCAAGUCGAACGGAGCUAUGAGAGAAGCUUGCUUCACUUUUAGCUUAGUGGCGGACGGGUGAGUAACGCGUGAGUAACCUACCCUUCAGAUUGGAAUAACAUCGAGAAAUCGGUGCUAAUACCGAAUAAUGUCGGAUUGCCGCAUGACAGACCGACCAAAGAUUUAUUGCUUAAGGAUGGACUCGCGUCCGAUUAGCCAGUUGGUGAGGUAACGGCUCACCAAAGCGACGAUCGGUAGCCGGACUGAGAGGUUGAACGGCCACAUUGGGACUGAGACACGGCCCAGACUCCUACGGGAGGCAGCAGUGGGGGAUAUUGCGCAAUGGGGGAAACCCUGACGCAGCAACGCCGCGUGAAGGAUGAAGGUUUUCGGAUUGUAAACUUCUUUUAUGAGGGACGAAGAAAGUGACGGUACCUCAUGAAUAAGCUCCGGCUAACUACGUGCCAGCAGCCGCGGUAAUACGUAGGGAGCGAGCGUUGUCCGGAUUUACUGGGUGUAAAGGGUGCGUAGGCGGCUAAACAAGUCAAAUGUGAAAUCUAUGGGCUCAACUCAUAAAUUGCAUUUGAAACUGUAUAGCUUGAGUGAAGUAGAGGCAGGCGGAAUUUCCUGUGUAGCGGUGAAAAUGCGUAAAGAUAGGAAAAAGAACACCAGGGGCGAAAGCGGCCUGCUGGGCUUUAACUGACGCUGAGGCACGAAAGCGUGGGUAUCGAACAGGAUGAGAUACCCCGGUAGUCCCCGCGCUAAAAGAUGAUAACUAGUUAUUUGCCAAAAUUGAUUGCGUGAGUGACCGAGCGAAAGCGUUAAGUUAUCUCACUUGGGGAGUACGCCGGCAACGGUGAAAAUCAAAGGAAAUGACGGGGGGCCGCCCCAGCGGUGGAGCAUGUGGUUUAAUUUGAAGCAACGCGAAGAACCCUACCAGGUCUUGACAUCCCGAUGCCCGGUAUAGAGAUAUACUUUUUUUUUCGGAAACAUCGGUGACAGGUGGUGCAUGGUUGUUGUCAGCUCGUGUCGUGAGAUGUUGGGUUAAGUCCCGCAACGAGCGCAACCCCUCCUGUUAGUUGCUCCGCAAGAGCACUCUAGUGAGACAGCCGUUGACAAAACGGAGGAAGGGGGGGAGGACGUCAAAUCAUCACGCCCCCUCUGACCUGGGGUACACACGCGCUACAAUGGCGGUCAACAAAGGGAAGCAAAAGUGCGAAGUGGAGCAAAUUCUCAAAAGCCGUCCCUCUUUGGAGUGCAGGGUGCACCUCUCCUGUACGAAGAGGGAAUAGCUAGUAAUCUCGGAU
This 1348-nucleotide ribosomal RNA is filed under the name uncultured bacterium. RNAcentral's name for it is "bacterial SSU rRNA". It matches the Rfam family "Bacterial small subunit ribosomal RNA", at positions 1 to 1349 of the family's 1533-position model. The record is from RNAcentral.